This 606-nucleotide long non-coding RNA is filed under the name Gossypium barbadense (sea-island cotton). Its description in RNAcentral is "long non-coding RNA (GBAR_LNC000044)". Lineage: Eukaryota; Viridiplantae; Streptophyta; Magnoliopsida; Malvales; Malvaceae. The record is from RNAcentral.
GGUUAAAUUUAUUAGAAUGAUUUAGACUUAAGAUCACAUUGAUUGUAAGACUCGAAUUUUUCCUGGGCCAUAUGGAAACCAAAAUCAUGAAUAAAACAAAAAAAUUAAAUAGUCCAUUAAAUAAGUCCAAUUACACCAGGCCCAAAAAAAGUAAAUCCAAAGCCUAAAACUUUACAAUGGCCCAAUACCCGAUUACACAAGCCCAAUGGCCCAAAUCUUUUUUCAGAAACAGCAAACCCUAGGCUACCCUUUUGCGCCGCAGCUCCCACGAACAUUCAGCGCCACUCCACCACGCACGUUCACCCCAACUCGCGUGCUGCACGCCUCACGCCCGUUCCUCCUCCACGUCUUCACGACCUGCGACUUGAGCAAGGAAAUAGUAAGAAACUGUUGUAUAUUCGGGCUAUAAAAGCCACGAAUAUUCAUUGUUUUUUUUUUUUACGGAUUGAAUACAAAAUACACACAAAAAAAGAUCAAUAGAAAGCAACCAAAAUACUUCAAAGGUGGUUGUCCCUCCCUGUUUUGCUGCCAUCUUAUUAAGCCCUGUUUAUAUUUCUUUUAACUUUUUAAAAUUUUCCUGAAAUUUAUGCGCUGUUUUAAUUUAAC